AUCCAGUUGACGAGUGUCAAACAGGACGAAACGCGCGUCCUGGAU
RNAcentral lists this non-coding RNA (45 nucleotides) under Schistosoma curassoni. Lineage: Eukaryota; Metazoa; Platyhelminthes; Trematoda; Strigeidida; Schistosomatidae. The record is from RNAcentral.